Molecule: non-coding RNA, 156 nt
Organism: Pan troglodytes (chimpanzee)
Lineage: Eukaryota; Metazoa; Chordata; Mammalia; Primates; Hominidae
Rfam family: Metazoan signal recognition particle RNA
About the family: The signal recognition particle (SRP) is a universally conserved ribonucleoprotein. It is involved in the co-translational targeting of proteins to membranes. The eukaryotic SRP consists of a 300-nucleotide 7S RNA and six proteins: SRPs 72, 68, 54, 19, 14, and 9.
Source: Rfam
GCUGGGUGUGGUGGUGCACGCCUGUAGUCUCAGCUACUCAAAGGCUGAGGCAGGAGGAUUGCUUGAGCCUGGGAGGUCAGAGCUGAAGUGGGUGAGCUGUGAUGUGAUUGCACCACUGCACUCCAGCCUGGGCAACUGAGCGAGACCCUAUCUCAA